GGAAAAACAGGGAUUUCUAUGAAAAUAAGCAAUAUUUAAGGGGAAAAACAGGGAUUUCGGUGAAAAUCAGAGAUAUUUCACGGGAAAAACAGGGAUUUCUAUGAAAAUAAGUGAUAUUUUAGGGUAAAAAAAAGGGAUUUCUAUGAAAAUAAGCGAUAUUUAAGGUUAAAAACAGGGAUUUCUAUGAAAAUAAGCGAUAUUUCAGGGGAAAAACAGGGAUCUCUAUGAAAAUAAGUGAUAUUUCAGGGGAAAAACAGGGAUUUCUAUGAAAAUAAGCGAUAUUUCAGGGGAAAAACAUGGAUUUCGGUGAAAAUAAGCGAUAUUUCAGGGGAAAAACAUGGAUUUCUAUGAAAAUAAGCGAUAUUUCAGUGGAAAAACAGGGAUUUCUAUGAAAAUAAGCGAUAUUUUAGGGUAAAAAAAAGAGAUUUCUAUGAAAAUAAGCGAUAUUUAAGGUUAAAAACAGGGAUUUCAAGGAAAAUAAGCAAUAUUUCAGGGGAAAAACAGGGAUUUCUAUGAAAAUAAGCGAUAUUUAAGGUUAAAAACAGGGAUUUCUAUGAAAAUAAGCGAUAUUUAAGGGGAAAAACAGGGAUUUCUAUGAAAAUAAGCGAUAUUUAAGGUUAAAAACAGGGAUUUCUAUGAAAAUAAGCGAUAUUUAUGGUUAAAAACAGGGAUUUCUAUGAAAAUAAGCGAUAUUUCAGGGGAAAAACAGGGAUUUCUAGGAAAAUAUGCGAUAUUUCAGGGGAAAAACAGGGAUUUCGGUGAAAAUAAGCGAUAUUUGAGGUUAAAAACAGGGAUUUCUAUGAAAAUAAGCGAUAUUUCAGGAGAAAAAAGAGGGAUUUCUAUGAAAAUAAGUAAUAUUCCAAGGGAAAAAGAGGUAUUUCUAUGAAAAUAAGCGACA
Long non-coding RNA from Tympanuchus pallidicinctus (lesser prairie-chicken), 898 nucleotides. RefSeq lists it as uncharacterized. The transcript has 3 exons. Lineage: Eukaryota; Metazoa; Chordata; Aves; Galliformes; Phasianidae. The record is from RefSeq and is a predicted model, not a curated record.